RNAcentral lists this ribosomal RNA (253 nucleotides) under uncultured bacterium. Its description in RNAcentral is "partial 16S ribosomal RNA". It matches the Rfam family "Bacterial small subunit ribosomal RNA", at positions 524 to 776 of the family's 1533-position model. The record is from RNAcentral.
UACGGAGGGUGCAAGCGUUGUCCGGAUUUAUUGGGCUUAAAGGGUGCGUAGGCGGCCCGUUAAGUCAGUGGUGAAAGCCUCCAGCUCAACUGGAGAACUGCCAUUGAUACUGACGGGCUUGAGUACAGACGAGGUUGGCGGAAUUGAUUGUGUAGCGGUGAAAUGCAUAGAUACAAUCAAGAACUCCGAUUGCGUAGGCAGCUAACUAGGCUGUAACUGACGCUGAGGCACGAAAGCGUGGGGAGCGAACAGG